CUGCUAAGGGUUUCUAUUGCCUCUUCCUCUCCUCUUCUUUUCUUCUUCUUCUUCUUCUGACAGGCGAAAGGAGUAAGGUUUACGAGACAACAGAAAUGGUGGUUCCAAAGAACAGCAAAUCAUCGUAUGAGGAGGACAGGCGGAAGAGACUGGAAGAGAAUAAGAGAAGAAUGGAGGAGCUAAAUCUUAGUAAAUUAGCUGAAGCACUGCACACUCCCAAGCCUUCACCUAUGAAGAAGGCGAAGCCGAAAGUGAAACGGUCUUUGGAUGUAUCUGCUGUCCGUCGGUCUAGCCGUGUGGCUGAUUUACCUCCGCGCAGUUACAAAGAAAUUCCAGUUGAACCUAUGGGAAGGCCAAGGCCAAGGAGUUAUGGAUAUAGGAGGGACUUGUCCAACAGAGUGUAUGCAGACGACGAAGACAGAGCAUAUGCCAUACAACGGGCAGAGGACCUUCAGGCAGGAUUAGAUCAAGAUAUUCCAAGCUUUGUGAAGCCACUGCUCCAGUCACAUGUUACCGGAGGUUUUUGGCUGGGUCUUCCAGUUCACUUUUGCAAGUCGCACCUUCCAAGUCGUGACACAAUGGUAACUCUAGUCGAUGAAAAAGGGGAAGAGUUUACAGCCAAGUAUCUUGCUCUUAAAACUGGGCUUAGCGGCGGAUGGAGAGGUUUUUCUCUCGAACACGGGUUGGUUGAUGGGGAUGCACUUGUUUUUCAUUUGAUUAAGCCGGCGACAUUCAAGGUGUACAUCAUAAGUGUAAAGGAACUUGCAGAAAACAACAGCUGAGAAUUAUGAGUAUGAACUUAAUUCUCCUUAUCUACAUAUGAAAUGUAUUAUUUAUGCAGGAAUGUAACUGAAUGGACAUUCUGAUGAGAAGCCAAGAGGGUUUCAUGCCUAUUAUAAGCCAAAAACAGAACACACCGAACCUAAUGAUAAAGACUAUUCUGCCCCCGGCCGUGCCCUUCUUCUCCGGCGACGAUGACGGCAGUGGCGUUGCAGAGCGGGCAAGUGUUCUUCCGUUGCAGCCAUUCCACAAUACACCCAACGUGAAACUCAUGUCUGCAAGGAAGCACUCCCACCAUACCACAACAAUCCUUCCCGCGCAAAUUAUCCUGACAGACUGCGCAGUUAUUCUCGUCAUCUCCGCCCACGCAAUUUCUCGUUUUCAGGCGUCUCAAAAUCGUCUCUUUCCUCAACCCAAAAUCGCCGCCGUCUUCUUCAAAGAAAACAGUAUCCUCGAAUUCUCGAAAACUAACCUGUCCGUACGAGCCAAUGGGCGGCGGCGCCGCCACAAGGACGGCGGUUUCAUCCUCUAGAACCCUAAUCCGGUCGAACCUCGUACGGCUUCUCUGGUACCGGACAUCGUCGUCGGCAUCGAGGAUCACAGUUUCGUCUUCAAUCCAAUUACAGCAGGCGGCGGCGGGCGACGGGCGGCGGGAGAAGUAAUUGUUAGGCGGAUUGAUGAGGGAACUGCGGUGUCGAAGAAGGAAGGAGUAAGCUUCGAAAGUAGGAGAGUAGAAGUGCGCCAUGGAAAUUGGAGAUGAAGAGUUUGUCUGAAUCUUUCUUCGCGAAAUAAGAAUGAAUGAAGAUUAACGUACGUUGAGGUUGAGGUUGAGGUUGUAUAUAUAGGCCAUAAUAUGGUAAUAUUUCCUUGUAUAGAUUUGAAAGAUUUAAGAAAUCCAAAACAAUUACCGUUAGUUGAGGGUAUAUUAAGGCUAUAAUAUAGUAAU
Molecule: RNA transcript, 1726 nt
Organism: Andrographis paniculata
Lineage: Eukaryota; Viridiplantae; Streptophyta; Magnoliopsida; Lamiales; Acanthaceae
Gene name: B3 domain-containing protein At3g19184-like
Exons: 7
Source: RefSeq, a predicted model, not a curated record